RNAcentral lists this transfer RNA (30 nucleotides) under Choroedocus violaceipes. Its description in RNAcentral is "partial tRNA-Tyr". Lineage: Eukaryota; Metazoa; Arthropoda; Insecta; Orthoptera; Acrididae. The record is from RNAcentral.
CUACUUAUGAGAAAAAUUUCUCCCCUACCA